AUAGCUCGAAAGCUGCAUUUGCUCGCCACGUACUCGCCGAUUGUCUCGGCUUCUCGCGAGCGGGCUAAGGUCUGAGCGUUCUAGUCCCCUUGUACCUGUGUCUAGCUGGCACCGACCGUAACAGGUCGAGCAGAGCAUCAGACAUGCGCUCGCUGUAGCUCGUAUCGCCCAGAGAUCCGCAAGGGGGGAGGGCAUAGCGCAGGUCGAGCUUGGAACCACUCUGCGGGGACCGAGCUGUUUCGUUAGCUUGUCCCUUUGUAACCUCUUUCACACCUAACGCACUAGUGUCGAGAACUAAUGCCCAACUUGCAUCGGGAAGUUGAGAUCAUGCGCCGUAAUCGCCGCUGUCGAGCGGUGUAUGGCCUGGAAGCCGCCUGGAUAGCUUCUAGGCUGACCGGACCGAGGAAGAAUAAGUGGCGCACUACCUGUUCUUGCUCCCCUCUCUCUGCGCUAGCGCCGCUGCGUCCCGCGGAGGUGAGAGGCCACGCUUGGUGGUCCGGUUGGUUUUGGUGAUCGAGGAGGUUGGGAUGAGUCCGAGCGGCUCUUUAGUUCACUUUGCGGCUCGCUUAUAUUCGCUUUUGGCGAUUUGCGAAACUCGAUUCAGACUACUCUUGGGCUGU
RNAcentral lists this RNase P RNA (620 nucleotides) under Rhizoctonia solani. Its description in RNAcentral is "Nuclear RNase P". It matches the Rfam family "Nuclear RNase P". Rfam says of the family: Ribonuclease P (RNase P) is a ubiquitous endoribonuclease, found in archaea, bacteria and eukarya as well as chloroplasts and mitochondria. Lineage: Eukaryota; Fungi; Basidiomycota; Agaricomycetes; Cantharellales; Ceratobasidiaceae. The record is from Rfam by way of RNAcentral.